Drosophila busckii is the source of this 499-nucleotide long non-coding RNA. RefSeq lists it as uncharacterized. The transcript has 3 exons. NCBI's taxonomy places the organism in Eukaryota, Metazoa, Arthropoda, Insecta, Diptera, Drosophilidae. The record is from RefSeq and is a predicted model, not a curated record.
ACAAUCACUUGUCACCGGAUAAAAACAAUAAGUUGAAUAAAGCAAAUUAUGAAAUUCAUUUGGAAUUGCUGAGCGCCUUCAAAGGAUUUGUAGAACUGGGUCAGAGAUAAUGGCUGCUUUGGAAUUGGAUAAUUAAUAAGUUUUAAAAAGUAUAAACAUAUGCCCACAUGCAUUACACCGCUCCUCAUCACGCCCCGCUCUUGCGUGUUAAUUAUCGUAUGCGCUGCGGUCAAGCUGCUGGAGAGCAGAGCAGAGACAAACUGGCGGUUCAGAGACACAAACAAACACCAACGAGACGAAGGGCCCGCAGUCCACAGGAGCAUACAGUCAGGUCGUUGGUCGUCGAUCGGCCCCGUAAAGUGUGUGUGUGUGUGUGUGUUUGUGUGUAUCGUACACUCUGUGCCACAGUUUUUGGGGGUGAGAUGGGCUGUUCUUAAAUAAUUUAUUAUAUUCGUCGAGUUGCAUGCUCAUAUAUUAUAUUUCCCUCAGUCCCUCAAAG